Molecule: long non-coding RNA, 2113 nt
Organism: Propithecus coquereli (Coquerel's sifaka)
Lineage: Eukaryota; Metazoa; Chordata; Mammalia; Primates; Indriidae
Exons: 4
Source: RefSeq, a predicted model, not a curated record
CUCACCCCCACCUGAUCAGGUCGUGUGGCCUUACCCUGUCCCUUUACCUAGCAGAAUCUCAGCUUCUUCAAUUCACAGCGAGGAAAACAGCACUCAACGCCUCCCAGCCCCUCAGCACUGGUCCCGCGGGGAGUCCCUCUGUCACUGGCACGGCCUUUCAUCGAUGGCUCUCACCUGAAACCUGGGCCUCCUCCCUGUCCCUCUCUUCCUGUGUCCGGGCCAUCUCCAGGUCCUUUUAGUUUUAUCAGUAAAUCCCUAAAUAUUUCCAAAUUCUGACCACUGUCCUCAUACCCACCACCCCAUCCUGGUCCAGGCAACCAGUUCCUCCCCAGCGUGGCUGCAAGGCCUCCCCGUGGUCUCAGGAUAUGACACUGCUCUCUCUCUCUUAAGGGCAGACUGAUCGUGUUAUGCGCUUAACCCCGCCACUGCUGAGAACCAUCCAUGGCUCCUCCUCGCUCUUCUGCUAAAGACCUGAUUUCUGACUGCAGCUGACUGGGCCCCGCAAGGCCUGCUGCUCACGCCUUCAGCCACAUCUUGCCCCUUGAGACUCACAGCUGGAGGGGAAUUUGCCUGGGAUGAAUCACACCUUUGAGUCUUACCUGUAUCUGACUGAGAUGAGCCUCUGGGCUUCAGCGUUUUGAGUUGGUGCUGGGACAAAUGAAGCCCACAGUUAGCAGUACAGCCAUCCUGGUCCCCCAGCAGAUGCCUGGCCUCCAUUCAGACUGGAAACUCCUCACAGUAAGAAGCCAGGCCAGUUUAACCUGCAGUCUCAGCCAACUCAUCACUCCACGACCCUACAACAAUCCUCACUGCCUGAUAUAAACACUUGCUUUGGGCUAGGACCAAAGCCCCAUAGAAUGUACGGCAGCGAGUGUGAACCCUAAAGUAAACUGCGGACUCUGGGUGACGGCCAUGUGUCAAAGGCUCAUCAGUUCCAGCAAAGUAGCAGUCUGGUGUGAGAUGUUGGUAACGGGGGCAGCUGUGCAUGUGUGGGGACAGGGGCCUGUGGGGACUCUGCAUCUUCCUCUCAGUUUUGCUGUGAGCCUGAAACUGCUCUAAAAUAAUUAAAUCUUAAAAAAAAUCUCCUUGUUGCUUUGUGAGAAGGAGACAGAGCAGGACACCUGGAAGGGGCUCAUUGCCACCGUGCAGGCGAGGGUGGCGGAGGCUGGGGGUGGAGGGGCUGGGGCUGCACAAACCCUGGAGGAGAGCACAAGGCGCUGCCGAUGGCUGGAUGCGAGGGCUGCAGGAAGACAGGCACCUUCUUCCUUCUGGGCCCUCUCACUUGCGAACGUGCCUCGAGGCCUCGAUGUGCUGUGUUGACCCGCUGGCCCCUCUGGGGCCAGGACUGAUACAUCUCUGCCUUCGGCCUGGAGACCCAAGAACUCUCCUCCAACAGGAAGCUCGAAAGUGGCAGCCAGUCUUUGUCAAGCUCUUUGACAUCCCAGGUCCUGCCCCUGGCACUAUGGGGGCUCAAAGAAUACCGGCGUCCUUGGCCUCAGGAGUUCAAGCCUCGUGCCCCGCCGUGCUCUGGCUGCUGCUGGCCACUCAGGACAUGUGCCCCGCUCAUGUCCCACCAGGGCCCCCGCACUCUAAGCCCUGCAGCAGGUCCCCGUGGCCCUAGCAGCGUUUCCCAAACUGGAGCACUCCACAGCCAGGCUCUCCAAAAGGAAAAGGAUGCUUCUGGCCAGACAGUGAUGAUUCAAAUUAUCUUUAUUAUACUGUUCCUAAAACAUAAAGCCAGGUACAAACUUCUUGGGAUUCUACACAACCAUAGAACCAAAUUAAAUACAAGCACGACUACAAAUCCAAUAGCAAGUAGAUGAACAGCAUUCAUUUUCAUUUAAUGUGGUGGAUGAGGUCAUUUUGCAGACUCCAAAUCAUCCACUUUGAAUUAUGCGCAUUUUCCAGGCUGUGCCAAUGUGCUGUUGUGUGCUCGGCUUUUGUUGUUCCCUGGGAGUUCCUGCACUGCUGUGUGUGCUGACUCAGUUGGCCACUUCUUUCCCAUUUGGGUGAGGGGAAACCUCUCAGAGGGUUUGGCCUCCCUCGCUCUGGGCAUAUACAUCCAUUCCUCUCUUUUAAGCCUGGGACUGUCAUAAGGACCUUCCUAGUCCCC